This 305-nucleotide ribosomal RNA is filed under the name uncultured bacterium. RNAcentral's name for it is "bacterial SSU rRNA". It matches the Rfam family "Bacterial small subunit ribosomal RNA", at positions 335 to 633 of the family's 1533-position model. The record is from RNAcentral.
AGCCUACGGGGCGCAGCAGUAGGGAAUUUUCGUCAAUGGGCACAAGCCUGAACGAGCAAUGCCGCGUGAACGAGGAAGGUCUUCGGAUCGUAAAGUUCUGUUGAAGGGGAAAGAGAGCGGAGAGAGGAAAUGGUCUCCGAUUGAUAUUACCCUUCGAGGAAGUCACGGCUAACUACGUGCCAGCAGCCGCGGUAAUACGUAGGUGGCGAGCGUUAUCCGGAUUCACUGGGUGUAAAGGGAGCGUAGACGGCCAUGCAAGCCAGGGGUGAAAGCCCGGGGCCCAACCCCGGGACUGCCCUUGGAAC